RNAcentral lists this unclassified non-coding RNA (357 nucleotides) under soil metagenome. RNAcentral describes it as "partial contains 5.8S ribosomal RNA, internal transcribed spacer 2, and large subunit ribosomal RNA". The stretch from base 1 to 120 matches the Rfam family "5.8S ribosomal RNA", at positions 35 to 154 of the family's 154-position model. The record is from RNAcentral.
GAUGAAGAACGUAGCGAAAUGCGAUAAGUAAUGUGAAUUGCAGAAUUCAGUGAAUCAUCGAAUCUUUGAACGCACAUUGCGCCCGCCAGUAUUCUGGCGGGCAUGCCUGUCCGAGCGUCAUUUCAACCCUCGAACCCCUCCGGGGGGUCGGCGUUGGGGACCUCGGGAGCCCCUAAGACGGGAUCCCGGCCCCGAAAUACAGUGGCGGUCUCGCCGCAGCCUCUCCUGCGCAGUAGUUUGCACAACUCGCACCGGGAGCGCGGCGCGUCCACGUCCGUAAAACACCCAACUUCUGAAAUGUUGACCUCGGAUCAGGUAGGAAUACCCGCUGAACUUAAGCAUAUCAAUAAGGGAGGA